Molecule: transfer RNA, 65 nt
Filed under: Petillopsis calcar
Lineage: Eukaryota; Metazoa; Arthropoda; Insecta; Hemiptera; Coreidae
Description: tRNA-Ile
Source: RNAcentral
AAUAAAGUGCCUGACUAAAGGGCUAUCUUGAUAGGAUAGAUAAAACAAUUAAUUUGUCUUUAUUA